This 21-nucleotide non-coding RNA is filed under the name Arabidopsis thaliana (thale cress). The record is from RNAcentral. Lineage: Eukaryota; Viridiplantae; Streptophyta; Magnoliopsida; Brassicales; Brassicaceae.
UCUUAUCAUUAGACUUGCCAC